RNAcentral lists this ribosomal RNA (116 nucleotides) under Priestia aryabhattai. Lineage: Bacteria; Bacillati; Bacillota; Bacilli; Caryophanales; Bacillaceae. The record is from RNAcentral.
UCUGGUGGCGAUAGCGAAGAGGUCACACCCGUUCCCGUACCGAACACGGAAGUUAAGCUCUUUAGCGCCAAUGGUAGUUGGGACUUUGUCCCUGUGAGAGUAGGACGUUGCCAGGC